This 74-nucleotide transfer RNA is filed under the name Coemansia sp. RSA 1939. RNAcentral's name for it is "tRNA-Arg". It matches the Rfam family "tRNA". Rfam says of the family: Transfer RNA (tRNA) molecules are approximately 80 nucleotides in length. Their secondary structure includes four short double-helical elements and three loops (D, anti-codon, and T loops). Further hydrogen bonds mediate the characteristic L-shaped molecular structure. tRNAs have two regions of fundamental functional importance: the anti-codon, which is responsible for specific mRNA codon recognition, and the 3' end, to which the tRNAs corresponding amino acid is attached (by aminoacyl-tRNA synthetases). tRNAs cope with the degeneracy of the genetic code in two manners: having more than one tRNA (with a specific anti-codon) for a particular amino acid; and 'wobble' base-pairing, i.e. permitting non-standard base-pairing at the 3rd anti-codon position. The record is from RNAcentral. Lineage: Eukaryota; Fungi; Kickxellomycota; Kickxellomycetes; Kickxellales; Kickxellaceae.
UCUUGUUUAGCUUAAAAGGAAAAAGCAACGAUCUUCUAAAUCGUUUAUUGUAGGUUCAAAUCCUAUAACAAGUA